UGACAGGUGCUGCAUGGCUGUCGUCAGCUCGUGUCGUGAGAUGUUCGGUUAAGUCCGGCAACGAGCGCAACCCACAUCUUUAGUUGCCAGCAGGUUAAGCUGGGCACUCUAGAGAAACUGCCCGUGAUAAGCGGGAGGAAGGUGUGGAUGACGUCAAGUCCUCAUGGCCCUUACGGGUUGGGCUACACACGUGCUACAAUGGCAUCAACAAUGGGUUAAUCCCUAAAAGAUGUCUCAGUUCGGAUUGGGGUCUGCGACUCGACCCCAUGAAGUCGGAAUCGCUAGUAAUCGCGUAACAGCAUGACGCGGUGAAUACGUUCCCGGGUCUUGUACACACCG
This 339-nucleotide ribosomal RNA is filed under the name uncultured bacterium. RNAcentral's name for it is "bacterial SSU rRNA". It matches the Rfam family "Bacterial small subunit ribosomal RNA", at positions 1032 to 1392 of the family's 1533-position model. The record is from RNAcentral.